UACGGGGGGUCCGAGCGUUAAUCGGAAUUACUGGGCGUAAAGGGUCUGUAGGUGGUUUGUUAAGUCAGAUGUGAAAGCCCAGGGCUCAACCUUGGAACUGCAUUUGAUACUGACAAACUAGAGUAUGGUAGAGGAAUAGGGAACUUCUGGUGUAGCGGUGAAAUGCGUAGAGAUCAGAAGGAACACCAAUGGCGAAGGCAACAUUCUGGACCAAUACUGACACUGAGGGACGAAAGCGUGGGGAUCAAACAGG
This 253-nucleotide ribosomal RNA is filed under the name uncultured bacterium. RNAcentral's name for it is "partial 16S ribosomal RNA". It matches the Rfam family "Bacterial small subunit ribosomal RNA", at positions 524 to 776 of the family's 1533-position model. The record is from RNAcentral.